UAGUGAUUAGUUUGAUCCUGGCUCAGGACGAACGCUGGCGGCGUGCCUAAUACAUGCAAGUCGAGCGGACCGAAUAGAAGCUUGCUUCUGUUUGGUUAGCGGCGGACGGGUGAGUAACACGUGGGCAACCUGCCCGUAAGACGGGGAUAACUUCGGGAAACCGGAGCUAAUACCCGAUAACCCUGAAGACCGCAUGGUCUUUAGUUGAAAGGCGGCUUCGGCUGUCACUUACGGAUGGGCCCGCGGCGUAUUAGCUAGUUGGUGAGGUAACGGCUCACCAAGGCGACGAUGCGUAGCCGGACCUGAGAGGGUGAUCGGCCACACUGGGACUGAGACACGGCCCAGACUCUUACGGGAGGCAGCAGUAGGGAAUCUUCCGCAAUGGACGAAAGUCUGACGGAGCAACGCCGCGUGAGCGAAGAAGGUCUUCGGAUUGUAAAGCUCUGUUGUUAGGGAAGAACAAGUGCG
This 468-nucleotide ribosomal RNA is filed under the name uncultured Bacillota bacterium. Its description in RNAcentral is "bacterial SSU rRNA". It matches the Rfam family "Bacterial small subunit ribosomal RNA", at positions 1 to 457 of the family's 1533-position model. Lineage: Bacteria; Bacillati; Bacillota. The record is from RNAcentral.